This 2478-nucleotide long non-coding RNA is filed under the name Sus scrofa (pig). RNAcentral describes it as "lncRNA (ENSSSCG00000048633.2)". The record is from RNAcentral. Lineage: Eukaryota; Metazoa; Chordata; Mammalia; Artiodactyla; Suidae.
ACUCUAAAACUUCCUUCAGUCCAAGUCUGCUGGCAACGAACUUCCUCAGUUUUUGUUUAUCUGGAAAUGUCUUUAUUUCUCAUUUUUGAAAGAUAGUUUCUCCGGACACUGAGGUUUUGCUUGUAUUGUCGGUGAGCCUCCUGGACUGAAUCUGCUGGAUCUGUCCCUCCAUGUUGUGCAGCCAUGAUGUUUCUGCUCAGGUGCUUUUUCUUUUAAUUCUUGUUUCAUUUUCAGACCUGACUCCUUGGGGGUUGCCCCUGCACCUGCAGGGUUUAGUGAUCCGCCAGUGAUUGGUUAAAGGUCCUGCUCACACCCCUGGAGCCAACUAGGCUCCAAUCUCUGCUCGGUGAUCUGUGUGGGGUUAAGAACACCCAGUUCAGGGCUCCCCCCAACUGUGACUUUCCGCUGGGCCCUUCUGCAUGUUCCCUAUGCUGUUUCAGCGUCCCCGGCCACCUGGGCUGUGCAGGGAGCUUGGGACGCCUCUGCUCUUGUCUGCAAGUUGGUCAGGCGAGUGUGGAGAGCUUUCCAAGUCUUUCUGUGGCUGCAUCAUUUCCAGGGCCUCUGCUACAUGUCUGACCAGUCUACUGUCUGACCCCAGUGGGGCAGCUAUUUAGGCUGCCAGAGCUGCCUGUUCACUUGCUGCUGAGAUCCAACUGGUACUGACGAUGCCAGUGGGCGGGGCUUUUCACCUUCGGCUCCAAAUCAAGUGCUGCCGCCCCCCGCCCGCCCCGCAGCCAGCUCUAUGGUCUGCCACCCCCCCCCCCAACGAUGACGGAACUACUACACUGAUGGGGGGUUAGAGGUGGCAGGGGGUAGUCCCCAGCCAAGAACAUGAGAAACUCCCCCUGCGGGGGGUGGACAGGGAAGGAGGGAGUUUGGGGUCAGCUGUUAAAUACUGGAUGGAGAACAACAGGUCCCACUGCGUGGCGUGGGAACCAACGAGACGCAAUCCCCUCCCACAAACCAUAACAGAGGAAAACGUGAGAAAGAAUAUACAUGUGUAUAACUGGGUCCCUUUGCUGUGUGGCAGAAAUGAACACGCUAUUGUAAGUCCACUAUACUUCACUAAAAUUAAAGAAACAAACACCCCACUGUCCUUAUCUGAAUGAAGUUCAGCCGUUCCUUCUGAUUAAAUGCUUUUUUUUUUUUUUUUUUUUGUCUUUUUGCUAUUUCUUCGGCCGCUCUCGCGGCAUAUGGAGAUUCCCAGGCUAGGGGUCUAAUUGGAGCUGUAGCCACAGGCCUACACCAGAGCCACAGCAACGCGGGAUCCGAGCCGCGUCUGCAACCUACACCACAGCUCACAGCAAUGCCGGAUCGUUAACCCACUGAGCAAGGGCAGGGACCGAACCCGAAAUCUUAUGGUUCCUAGUCGGAUUCGUCAACCACUGCGCCACGACAGGAACUCCAGAUGCUUCUCAAUUUAGUAGUAGUGGUAGUGGUGGCGGUGGCAGUAGCAGUUUUUAUGGCCUUACCUGCGGCAUCUGGAAAUUCCCAGGCUAGGGGUCACCUCGGAGCUGCAGCUGCUGGCCACAGCCACAGCCACACCAGAUCCAAGCUGCAUGUGGGACCCACACCACAGCUCGAGGCAAAACGCUUCUCAAUUUGACGCUGGCAGCUGUUGUACUUCCUGAGUCCUGCAGUGGUUGUUUUUUGACACCUCUGCCCAGUGUAUUCUUGUCUUAGAGGAGAGAGUGUCCCACUUCCGCACUCACUCCACAUACCGAAGUCCCGCCUCUGUCCUCAGCCACUGUCAAAUCUUUCAUCUUCAACGUGCCACUCAGCCACACGACAGUCACACGACUUCAGGCUACAGGUCGAAUGUGGGCUCGUAAAGGGGAACGAGCAUCCUUCCGGCCCAGCUGCCUCCCACACUGUUACACCACGACUUCCGGGUCCUGAGAGAGCGAAUGAUAACGUUUUAAAAUUGGCUCCGUAACUCCACCUCGUCUGAAAGUCAACCAAAUGCCUGUGUUCCCUUUGAGUCUGAUCCCUGGACCCGGAGCAGCUUUCACCUUGCUUCUUCUCUUUUUCUGUUUUGGCGGCCCUGCAGCACAUGGAGUUCCUGAGCCAGGGAUCAGAUCCAAGCUGCGGUUGCAGCUUACACCGCAGCUGCGUCAGCUCGAGAUCUUCAACCCACUGUGCCGGGCCGGGGGAUCGAACCUGUGGUCCUGGCGCUGCAGAGAUGCCACUGAUCCCGUCGCGCCAUAGUGGAAACUCCUUACCUUGAUUCUUUGAUAGAAUCAAGAUAGAGAGAUAGAGAGAUAGAGAGAUAGAAAGCUCUCGGCUGUUUUCAGUUUUCCUUCCCUGUAAGUCACCCACUCUCCCUACUGGCCGGCAUCUGAGGUCGCCCCGCUACGCAGAGCUGGUUACCCAACCUCUGGCGACGACAGACAGGCCCAGAGCCUCUGGAGUUCAUCUGUACCACUGACAAGCCCAGGAUUUAUUUCCCUUUGCUCUAAUAAAGCUUGUUUCCUUCCU